CCAAUAGCGUAUAUUAAAGUUGUUGCAGUUAAAAAGCUCGUAGUUGAAUUUCGGGAUCAAAUGAUCGUUCUUCCAUUGGUACGUACUGGCUUUAUUGGUUUCUACCUUCUGAAGAACCGCGAUGUCAUUCAUUUGGUGUCUUGGGGAAUCAGGACUGUUACUUUGAAAAAAUUAGAGUGUUUAGAGCAGGCUCGCGCUUGAAUACAUUAACAUGGAAUAGUGAAAUAGGACGUUUGAUUCUAUUUUGUUGGUUUCUAGGAUCGACGUAAUGAUUAAUAGGGAUAGUUGGGGGCAUUAGUAUUCAAUUGUCAGAGGUGAAAUUCUUGGAUUUAUUGAAGACUAACUACUGCGAAAGCAUUUGCCAAGGAUGUUUUCAUUAAUCAAGAACGAAAGUUAGGGGAUCGAAGACGAUCAGAUACCGUCGUAGUCUUAACCAUAAACUAUGCCGACUAGGGAUCGGAUGAUGUUAAUUUUUUAAUGACUCAUUCGGCGCCUUACG
Molecule: ribosomal RNA, 499 nt
Filed under: uncultured Glomeromycotina
Lineage: Eukaryota; Fungi; Glomeromycota
Description: partial small subunit ribosomal RNA
Rfam family: Eukaryotic small subunit ribosomal RNA
Source: RNAcentral